Molecule: small RNA, 29 nt
Filed under: Bombyx mori (domestic silkworm)
Lineage: Eukaryota; Metazoa; Arthropoda; Insecta; Lepidoptera; Bombycidae
Description: ovarian small RNA-38329
Source: RNAcentral
UUUCGGAGAUAGUGGGUCGCCUUGCCUCU